GCCAUGGUGGUUCAGUGGUAGAAUUCUCACCUUUCAUGAGGAAGACUUGGGUUAGAUUCCUACCCAAUGUA
RNAcentral lists this transfer RNA (71 nucleotides) under Loxodonta africana (African savanna elephant). It matches the Rfam family "tRNA". From Rfam's summary of the family: Transfer RNA (tRNA) molecules are approximately 80 nucleotides in length. Their secondary structure includes four short double-helical elements and three loops (D, anti-codon, and T loops). Further hydrogen bonds mediate the characteristic L-shaped molecular structure. tRNAs have two regions of fundamental functional importance: the anti-codon, which is responsible for specific mRNA codon recognition, and the 3' end, to which the tRNAs corresponding amino acid is attached (by aminoacyl-tRNA synthetases). tRNAs cope with the degeneracy of the genetic code in two manners: having more than one tRNA (with a specific anti-codon) for a particular amino acid; and 'wobble' base-pairing, i.e. permitting non-standard base-pairing at the 3rd anti-codon position. The record is from Rfam by way of RNAcentral. Lineage: Eukaryota; Metazoa; Chordata; Mammalia; Proboscidea; Elephantidae.